Molecule: ribosomal RNA, 465 nt
Filed under: uncultured bacterium
Lineage: Bacteria
Description: partial 16S ribosomal RNA
Rfam family: Bacterial small subunit ribosomal RNA
Source: RNAcentral
GACGAACGCUGGCGGCGUGCUUAACACAUGCAAGUCGAACGGAAAGGCCCCUUUGGGGGUACUCGAGUGGCGAACGGGUGAGUAACACGUGAGUAACCUGCCCUUGACUUCGGGAUAACUUCAGGAAACUGGGGCUAAUACCGGAUAGGAAUCCUUGCUGCAUGGUGGGGGUUGGAAAGCUUCGGCGGUUUUGGAUGGACUCGCGGCUUAUCAGCUUGUUGGUGGGGUAGUGGCUUACCAAGGCUUUGACGGGUAGCCGGCCUGAGAGGGCGACCGGCCACAUUGGGACUGAGAUACGGCCCAGACUCCUACGGGAGGCAGCAGUGGGGAAUAUUGCACAAUGGGCGGAAGCCUGAUGCGGCAACGCCGCGUGCGGGAUGACGGCCUUCGGGUUGUAAACCGCGUUCAGCAGGGGCGAAGCUUGUGGUGACGGUACCUGCAGAAGAAGCACCGGCUAACUACGUG